UUAGGAAUCUUCGGCAAUGGGGGAAACCCUGACCGAGCGACACUGCUUGGAGGAUGAAGGUUUUCGGAUCGUAAACUCCUGAACGAGGGACGAAUAAUGACGGUACCUCGCUAAUAGCACCGGCUAACUCCGUGCCAGCAGCCGCGGUAAUACGGAGGGUGCAAGCGUUAUCCGGAAUCACUGGGCGUAAAGGGCGCGUAGGCGGUUUGUUAAGUCCGAUGUUAAAGACCGAGGCUCAACCUCGACACGGCGUUGGAUACUGGCAAGCUGGACGGUUGGAGAGGAAGGUAGAAUUACCAGUGUAGCGGUGGAAUGCGUAGAUACUGGUAGGAAUACCCAUUGCGAAGGCAGCCUUCUGGACAACACGUGACGCUGAGGCGCGAAAGUGUGGGGAGCAAACCGGAUUAGAUACCCGGGUAGUCCACACCCUAAACGAUGCAUACUUGGUGUCGGCCCGUUGGGGUCGGUGCCGGAGUUAACGCGUUAAGUAUGCCGCC
This 497-nucleotide ribosomal RNA is filed under the name uncultured Deinococci bacterium. Its description in RNAcentral is "SSU rRNA". It matches the Rfam family "Bacterial small subunit ribosomal RNA", at positions 355 to 873 of the family's 1533-position model. The record is from RNAcentral. Lineage: Bacteria; Thermotogati; Deinococcota; Deinococci.